GGAAUCGCUAGUAACCGUGAAUCAGCCUCGUCACGGUGAAUACGUUCUCGGGUUUUGUACACACCGCCCGUCACACCAUGGAAGUGGUUAAUACCCAAUAUCUGCGCAAGCGGACUAAGGUAAGAAUCAUGACUGGGGUGAAGUCGUAACAAGGCAUCGGUAGCGGAAGCUGUCGAUGGAUCACCUCCUUUCUAAGGAGAAUUCUG
This 206-nucleotide ribosomal RNA is filed under the name Candidatus Doudnabacteria bacterium RIFCSPHIGHO2_02_FULL_49_24. Its description in RNAcentral is "partial 16S ribosomal RNA". It matches the Rfam family "Bacterial small subunit ribosomal RNA", at positions 1328 to 1533 of the family's 1533-position model. RNAcentral also lists the same sequence under 1 other name. The record is from RNAcentral. Lineage: Bacteria; Candidatus Doudnaibacteriota.